AUUCCAGCUCCAAUAGCGUAUAUUAAAGUUGUUGCGGUUAAAAAGCUCGUAGUUGGAGUUCUGCCAGGUGCCACCUGUCCGCCCCAGUGGUGAGUACGUGGUGCGCAUUUGGCCCUUUCAAGGGGAGCGUAUUUGCACUUAAUUGUGUGGUGCGGGAUCCUUGACUUUUACUUUGAGGAAAUAAGAGUGUUCCAAGCAGGCUCUCGUCGUGCAUAGCUCAGCAUGGAAUAAUAGCAUUGGACCUCGAUUCUAAGCUGUUGGUUGCCAGAAGCGAGGUAAUGAUUAAUAGGGACAGUCGGGGGCAUUUGUAUUCAAACGACAGAGGUGAAAUUCUUGGACCGUUUGAAGGCAAACUACUGUGAAAGCAUUUGCCAAGAAUGUUUUCAUCG
This 389-nucleotide ribosomal RNA is filed under the name Syndiniales sp. RNAcentral describes it as "partial small subunit ribosomal RNA". It matches the Rfam family "Eukaryotic small subunit ribosomal RNA", at positions 582 to 975 of the family's 1831-position model. The record is from RNAcentral. Lineage: Eukaryota; Dinophyceae; Syndiniales.